AACGUGAUCCGGAUAUUGUUGGGCGGAAAGGCUUGACAGCCGUUUUUUAAGUCUGAGUGAAAGCCCCCGGCUCAACCGGGGAGGGUCAUUGGAACCGGGAAUCUUGCGCGCAGAGGAGUAGAGUGGCAUUCCCCGCGUGCUGUGGGGUGGGUAGCCAUGUGGAGGUACACCAUUGGCGAAGGCGACUUUAUGGUCCGUAACUUAUAUCAGGAGCGAAAGCCUGGGGAGCGAACAUGAUUAGAUACCCUGGUAGUCCACGCCGUAAUCGAUGAGUGUUAUGUUUUAGGGGGUUUCCGCCCUUUAGUGUUGCAGUUAAAGCACAAGCACUCUGCUUGGGGAGUACGGUCGCAAGUCUGAAACUCCAAGGAAUUGACGGGGGGCCGCUCAAGCGGUGGAGCAUGUGGUUUAAUUGGAAGCAACUUGAAGAACCUUACCAGGUCUUGACAUCCUCUGACAACCCUAGAGAUAGGGCUUUCCCUUCGGGGACAGAGUGACAGGUGGUGCAUGGUUGUCGUCAGCUCGUGUCGUGAGAUGUUGGGUUAAGUCCCGCAACGAGCGCAACCCUUGAUCUUAGUUGCCAGCAUUCAGUUGGGCACUCUAAGGUGACUGCCGGUGACAAACCGGAGGAAGGUGGGGAUGACGUCAAAUCAUCAUGCCCCUUAUGACCUGGGCUACACACGUGCUACAAUGGACAGAACAAAGGGCUGCGAGACCGCAAGGUUUAGCCAAUCCCACAAAUCUGUUCUCAGUUCGGAUCGCAGUCUGCAACUCGACUGCGUGAAGCUGGAAUCGCUAGUAAUCGCGGAUCAGCAUGCCGCGGUGAAUACGUUCCCGGGCCUUGUACACACCGCCCGUCACACCACGAGAGUUUGCAACACCCGAAGUCGGUGAGGUAACCUUUAUGGAGCCAGCCGCCGAAUAGUGGGGCAGAUGUAUUAAGUGAACUAUUAUCAGCGUAGGCCAACCAA
RNAcentral lists this ribosomal RNA (968 nucleotides) under bacterium B-WPhS10. RNAcentral's name for it is "bacterial SSU rRNA". It matches the Rfam family "Bacterial small subunit ribosomal RNA", at positions 537 to 1508 of the family's 1533-position model. The record is from RNAcentral.